AUCACUUCUUGGCCUUUUGGCUAAGAUUAAGUGUAGUAUCUGUUCUUAUUGGUUUAAAAUUAAUCGCAAUCUAUGCUGUAUGAAUAUAC
This 89-nucleotide small nuclear RNA is filed under the name Otolemur garnettii (small-eared galago). RNAcentral's name for it is "U2 spliceosomal RNA (ENSOGAG00000030307.1)". It matches the Rfam family "U2 spliceosomal RNA", at positions 1 to 84 of the family's 192-position model. From Rfam's summary of the family: U2 is a small nuclear RNA (snRNA) component of the spliceosome (involved in pre-mRNA splicing). Complementary binding between U2 snRNA (in an area lying towards the 5' end but 3' to hairpin I) and the branchpoint sequence (BPS) of the intron results the bulging out of an unpaired adenosine, on the BPS, which initiates a nucleophilic attack at the intronic 5' splice site, thus starting the first of two transesterification reactions that mediate splicing. Lineage: Eukaryota; Metazoa; Chordata; Mammalia; Primates; Galagidae. The record is from RNAcentral.